AUAUCAAUAAGCGGAGGAAAAGAAACUAACAAGGAUUCCCCUAGUAACGGCGAGUGAAGCGGGAAGAGCACAAAUUUAAAAUCUACCUGGUUUUCAGGUCGAGUUGUAAUUUGAAGAUACGUUUUUGAUGUUCCUGGUUGGACUAAAUUCUUUGGGAUAAGGUAUCAUAGAGGGUGAGAAUCCCGUGUAUACCAACCACAGGGAUGUUAUUUAAUAACGUUUCUAAGAGUCGAGUUGUUUGGGAAUGCAGCUCUAAAUGGGUGGUAAAUUUCACCUAAUGCUAAAUAUAAGCGAGAGACCGAUAGCGAACAAGUACAGUGAUGGAAAGAUGAAAAGAACUUUGAAAAGAGAGUUAAAUAGUACGUGAAAUUGUUGAAAGGGAAACGAUUGAAGUCAGUCAUGCCAGCGGGAAUCAACUUAGGGGAAACUCUGAGUGCACUUCUUCGUUUGGCAGGUUAGCGUCGAUUUUGGAUGUCAUAAAAUAAUUGGGGGAAGGUAGCUCCUUCGGGAGUGUUAUAGCCCUUGGUAGAUGUGAUGUCUGGGAUCGAGGAUUGCAACGGAUACCCUUCGGGGCUAGCCGCCUGAUCUCUAAUUGGUGUUGGGUUAUGGACAGCAUGCUGACCGUGAUCUAAUUACUGGUUAAAAGGUUAGAGUGUGCAUAAAUUCGUUAAGGACGCUGACGUAAUGGCUUUAAACGACCCGUCUUGAAACACGGACCAAGGAGUCUAACAUGUAUGCAAGUGUUAGGGUAUUAAACCCAGACGCGAAAUGAAAGUGAGUGUAGGUGGGAUCCUUUAUUGGAGCACCAUCGACCGAUCUUGAGAUUUAUCGAUAGAAUUGAGUUAGAGCAUACCUGUUGGGACCCGAAAGAUGGUGAACUAUGCCUGAAUAGAGUGAAGCCAGAGGAAACUCUGGUGGGGGCUCGUAGCGGUUCUGACGUGCAAAUCGAUCGUCAAAUUUGGGUAUAGGGGCGAAAGACUAAUCGAACCAUCUAGUAGCUGGUUCCUGCCGAAGUUUCCCUCAGGAUAGCAGAAACUCAUUAACAGUUUUAUGAGGUAAAGCGAAUGAUUAGAGGCCUUAGGGUUGAAACAGCCUUAACCUAUUCUCAAACUUUAAAUAUGUAAGAAGCUAACAGGUUACUUAAUUGAACCUGGGCAAUCGAAUGAGAGUUUCUAGUGGGCCAUUUUUGGUAAGCAGAACUGGCGAUGCGGGAUGAACCGAACGUAAGGUUAAGGUGCCCAAAUUCACGCUCAUUUAGACACCACAAAAGGUGUUAGUUCAUCUAGACAGCAGGACGGUGGCCAUGGAAGUCGGAAUCCGCUAAGGAGUGUGUAACAACUCACCUGCCGAAUGAACUAGCCCUGAAAAUGGAUGGCGCUCAAGCGUGAUACCUAUACCUUACCGUCAGGGUUAAAUUGAAGCUCUGACGAGUAGGCAGGUGUGAAGGUCGUGAAGAAGUCAUGGGUGUAAACCUUGAUGGAACGGCCUUUAGUGCAGAUCUUGGUGAUAGUAGCAAAUAUUCAAAUGAGAACUUUGAAGACUGAAGUGGAGAAAGGUUCCAUGUGAACAGUGAUUGGACAUGGGUUAGUCGAUCCUAAGAGAUAGGGGAAUUCCGUUUUAAAGGGGACUAUUUUUAGUCACACCUAUCGAAAGGGAAGCAGGUUAAUAUUCCUGCACCUGAAUGCGGAUAAUUAAUACGGUAACGUUAACUGAACUUGGUUACGUCUGUGAGGGCUUCGGGAAGAGUUAUCUUUUCUUUUUAACUAUCUUUUACACCUUGGAAUUUCGGAUUAACCGGAGAUAAGGUAUAAAGGUAGGAAGAGCUUGACACUUAAGUCAGGUCCGAUGCGUUCUCAAGGACCCUUGAAAAACCAAGGGAAAGAUUUAUUUUCGCGUCAGGUCGUACUCAUAACCGC
Molecule: ribosomal RNA, 1916 nt
Filed under: Gigaspora margarita
Lineage: Eukaryota; Fungi; Glomeromycota; Glomeromycetes; Diversisporales; Gigasporaceae
Description: eukaryotic LSU rRNA
Rfam family: Eukaryotic large subunit ribosomal RNA
Source: RNAcentral